RNAcentral lists this non-coding RNA (79 nucleotides) under Deltaproteobacteria bacterium. RNAcentral's name for it is "c-di-GMP sequence". It matches the Rfam family "c-di-GMP-I riboswitch aptamer". From Rfam's summary of the family: GEMM was predicted in a large-scale screen for bacterial structured RNA regulatory elements. Genes associated with GEMM are involved in a diverse array of functions, including chemotaxis regulation, signal transduction, secretion and chitin. The record is from RNAcentral. Lineage: Bacteria; Pseudomonadati; Myxococcota; Myxococcia.
GGACGAAUCAGGCAAAGCCCGGGCAACCGGGUGACGGAAAACCACGGGUCCACCGCAGGUGGAUGGCCGGGUUGCCUGA